GGAUGUGAGGGCAAUCUGGCUGUGACAUCUGUCACCCCAUUGAUUGCCAGGGUUGAUUCAACUGAUAUGGCUGGCUAGGCGGGUGCCCCCUUCUCUCUCACUGCUCAAUGUGUGUCCCUCCUGAAGCUGUGUGCUCGGUUGAAGAGGACAACCUUCCCCAAUAGAGGAGGACCAUUCUUUGGUCAAGGGUAUGUGAGUAGCUGUGCUCCCCUGCUAGAACCUCCAAACAAGCUUUCAAGAAUCAUUGGUUCUUACUGAUAUCUUAGAAGUAAGCAUUCCUGCGAAUUAUGUAUACCCUGUCGUGAAAGAUAACCUUUACUACAUUAGUCA
Otolemur garnettii (small-eared galago) is the source of this 330-nucleotide non-coding RNA. NCBI's taxonomy places the organism in Eukaryota, Metazoa, Chordata, Mammalia, Primates, Galagidae. The record is from Rfam.